GGACGAACGCUGGCGGCGUGCCUAAUACAUGCAAGUCGAACGGUCUUUCUAUGGAAGCUUGCUCCACUGAGAAGAUAGUGGCGAACGGGUGAGUAACACGUGGGUAACCUGCCCAUAAGAGGGGGAUAACAUCCGGAAACGGGUGCUAAUACCGCAUAGUUUUCUUGAUCGCAUGAUCGGGAAAGGAAAGACGGCCUUUGUGCUGUCGCUUAUGGAUGGACCCGCGGCGUAUUAGUUAGUUGGUGAGGUAACGGCUCACCAAGACGAUGAUACGUAGCCGACCUGAGAGGGUGAUCGGCCACAUUGGGACUGAGACACGGCCCAAACUCCUACGGGAGGCAGCAGUAGGGAAUCUUCCGCAAUGGACGAAAGUCUGACGGAGCAACGCCGCGUGAGUGAAGAAAGGUUUUCGGAUCGUAAAACUCUGUUGUCAGAGAAGAACAAGUUGGAGAGUAACUGCUCCAGCCUUGACGGUAUCUGACCAGAAAGCCACGGCUAACUACGUGCCAGCCGCCGC
RNAcentral lists this ribosomal RNA (517 nucleotides) under uncultured bacterium. Its description in RNAcentral is "bacterial SSU rRNA". It matches the Rfam family "Bacterial small subunit ribosomal RNA", at positions 27 to 518 of the family's 1533-position model. The record is from RNAcentral.